Molecule: long non-coding RNA, 1384 nt
Organism: Triticum dicoccoides
Lineage: Eukaryota; Viridiplantae; Streptophyta; Magnoliopsida; Poales; Poaceae
Exons: 2
Source: RefSeq, a predicted model, not a curated record
ACGCACCGCUCAAUCACGCUGAGCCUUAUCCCAUCCCCUUGCAUCGUCUUCCCACCACAGACAUCUCUUUCGUCUUGCACGGCAAUCCCCAAUCAUCUCCUUGCCGCACCUCGAUUCUUCCUUUCUACUCCUCCAUCCAAACGCAUCGCGCAUCCCACUGGCUCGGCAGCUCCACCGGUGCCAGAGGAGAAGUGCUCUCCUGCGCCGCGCGCUGCAUCUAGUAACCCAUCGGAGCCGGAGACGACGGCGACGAGCACCGGGUAGGAAGACGGCAAACACAAGGGCCAGAUGCACCCCUCUCCAUGGCCGUUCGCAGGCAGAGGUGUGCUCGUCGCCUUGUCCGCCGGCAACUGGAUGCCUCCAUGGCCGCCGCAUCCAUGGUUAGUUAGUCCCCAUGGCCAAGCUGGAAUCGACCACGGUGGCGACGAGUUUGUGCUGGAACCAGGAACUAGCAUUUGAAUUUGCUGCAUAGGCUAUGUUUAUGCUGGGACGGCGACGGACGGCGGCUACAUGUGUCUUUGCUGCAUUUGUCUUUUUGUUGGAAUUAGCAAUUAUUUUUGCUACAACAAGCCUCUGAAGAGCUGGAACCGGCAAGAUUGCUUUUGUUUGCAGUCAUCGGCAGCAGCGCAUUUUUUGCUGGAACGCCAUUUUUUGUUGUUGGAAUAGGUUUUGGUUUUCGCUGGAACCGGUCUUAUUUUCUGCUACAACGGGCUAAUUGUUUUGCUCCAACAGAUUACUGGAGUUUUUCUGUUUUGCUUUUCUUGCUGAUUUUACUUUGCUACAAUCGGCAUGGGAAAAGCUUCAACCGUGAAAAAAAAAGCUUCAACCAGAGAGGGUGAGAAAAAGCUUGGACUAGCGAGAAAAUAACUCUUCAACCAGGCGCACGCGAGCACGUGAUGCCGGCCGGCUGCAGCCAGCGGGGCAUGGUGAUGCUGCAUUGAGCGUGCUACGACGGAGCCGGCUAGUUGCUGCAACGACAGAGGCAUCUGACGUGCUACGAGACGGCCCUGUCCCUAUGUGGUGGCGGCUAGGUGCAACGACGACCUCUGCUAGAUCCGGCGAGAACCGGUGCAGCGAUGGCGGCGAGCCGGCGGGGCUUCGAAGUCAGCGGCAGGGGCGGCCAUGGCGGGCUGCGUGCGUGUGGCGGGGUGUGCUGGAGAUUUUUUUUGUAUUGUUUUCCGCAUGAUGUAUCAGAGGAGGGAAAAAAGAGGACCAGAUCUGACGGCACUGGGAACUUUAAUCGUACGGGUAUGCGUUGACCGGCUCAAUUUUGUGCCGGUGCGCCGGCGCCUAUUACUCGACUUUCUUUUAGGUAGUAGAGAAGAGAAAAACGGUGACACUUUUAUUGAUUAAUAUGGUAAUUCUUAGCUAAUCUACACCGUUA